Molecule: long non-coding RNA, 332 nt
Filed under: Brassica napus (rape)
Lineage: Eukaryota; Viridiplantae; Streptophyta; Magnoliopsida; Brassicales; Brassicaceae
Description: long non-coding RNA (BNAP_LNC022622)
Source: RNAcentral
GGGGCCAAGACUUUUCAUAACUUGAGCUAGAGGUUUUUCUACUUAUCCCAAUAAGACAAUUCACUUAAACACAAAGAGUCAUUUCUUUUCCUUUUUCAUUGCUCCCAAAUCAUAAUCACAACUCUCACCUCCCACCUAUAGCUAGACAAUAGAGUGCCCAAUCUAGCAAGAAUGAAGAUCAAGCAUUGUCGUUCCCGAUACUCUCAACAUUAUGCACAUGUAAGACUUUCCGAAGAAGGCCUCACUCAUCAAACAAUGAAAGCUUAAAAGGAGGGAAAGGUUUUGGGAGUGGUCUACCACUAGAGUUUGUCAGAAUAAGAUUGGCAUAAAGG